UAUGGCCACAUCACGUUGAAACACAGGUUGUCCUGUACGAUCACCGAAGUUAAGCAACGUCGUGCCUGGUCAGUACCUAGAUGGAUGACCGUUUGGGAAUAGCAAGUGCUGUAUG
This is a non-coding RNA of Acanthosepion pharaonis, 115 nucleotides long. The record is from the annotation of a GenBank genome assembly. Lineage: Eukaryota; Metazoa; Mollusca; Cephalopoda; Sepiida; Sepiidae.